This 496-nucleotide ribosomal RNA is filed under the name uncultured bacterium. Its description in RNAcentral is "partial 16S ribosomal RNA". It matches the Rfam family "Bacterial small subunit ribosomal RNA", at positions 29 to 507 of the family's 1533-position model. The record is from RNAcentral.
AUGAACGCUGGCGGCGUGCCUAAUACAUGCAAGUCGAGCGAACAGACGAGGAGCUUGCUCCUCUGACGUUAGCGGCGGACGGGUGAGUAACACGUGGAUAACCUACCUAUAAGACUGGGAUAACUUCGGGAAACCGGAGCUAAUACCGGAUAAUAUAUUUAACCGCAUGGUUCAAUAGUGAAAGACGGUUUUGCUGUCACUUAUAGAUGGAUCCGCGCCGCAUUAGCUAGUUGGUAAGGUAACGGCUUACCAAGGCAACGAUGCGUAGCCGACCUGAGAGGGUGAUAGGCCACACUGGAACUGAGACACGGUCCAGACUCCUACGGGAGGCAGCAGUAGGGAAUCUUCCGCAAUGGGCGAAAGCCUGACGGAGCAACGCCGCGUGAGUGAUGAAGGUCUUCGGAUCGUAAAACUCUGUUAUUAGGGAAGAACAAAUGUGUAAGUAACUAUGCACGUCUUGACGGUACCUAAUCAGAAAGCCACGGCUAACUACGUG